AAACUGCAACUUUCUCUUCGCCGGAUUUUGGAGUUCAGUGGCUCAAUUCAACUACCCAACAAUUCGAAGUGAUGUCGAAAUAUGAAGGAGUGGAUAAUGAAUUUUGAACUUCUUUCUAUUUCUCUCUCAAAUCUCUCCGCCCCUUUCUCUUUCUCAUUUUCUUCUUCUUCGGUUUCUUCGUUUCAUUUUUUUU
RNAcentral lists this small RNA (193 nucleotides) under Arabidopsis thaliana (thale cress). RNAcentral's name for it is "ATSL162280". Lineage: Eukaryota; Viridiplantae; Streptophyta; Magnoliopsida; Brassicales; Brassicaceae. The record is from RNAcentral.